Molecule: non-coding RNA, 279 nt
Organism: Cinara cedri
Lineage: Eukaryota; Metazoa; Arthropoda; Insecta; Hemiptera; Aphididae
Source: the annotation of a GenBank genome assembly
GUCUGCGAUCGGCCGGUUAAGGUCAGUUACACUUAGAUCGCGAAACCGUGGAAGUCACCGACGUAAUUUUUGUCACUAUAAAACUGUUGUUCAAUGUGUACGUCUUUUCGAAAAACUGUUCUGUACAUAUAUAUCAAGGUAGUCCGAAAAAGGCUUUUCUAGAAAAGUGAAUCACCAUCGAAAGAUCAUCGGAAAAAAAUCACUCUAGUAAACAAAUCCAUGAAAAUUCCCAAUUCAACUACUAUACUAUAAAUAAUAAUAAUGUUUAAAAAAAUGUCC